This 301-nucleotide ribosomal RNA is filed under the name uncultured bacterium. RNAcentral's name for it is "partial 16S ribosomal RNA". It matches the Rfam family "Bacterial small subunit ribosomal RNA", at positions 509 to 809 of the family's 1533-position model. The record is from RNAcentral.
CAGCAGCCGCGGGAAUACGAGGGGAGCUAGCGUUGUUCGGAAUUACUGGGCGUAAAGCGCGCGUAGGCGGCUUUUUAAGUCAGAGGUGAAAGCCCGGGGCUCAACCCCGGAAUUGCCUUUGAAACUGGAAAGCUAGAAUCUUGGAGAGGUCAGUGGAAUUCCGAGUGUAGAGGUGAAAUUCGUAGAUAUUCGGAAGAACACCAGUGGCGAAGGCGACUGACUGGACAAGUAUUGACGCUGAGGUGCGAAAGCGUGGGGAGCAAACAGGAUUAGAUACCCCCGUAGUCCCUGUCUCUUAUAA